UCUGUUUCUACAUCCAGCGUCCACAUGGCUAGAUCGACGGGUCUAAACUCUUGGUGGGCUCCUCCACUACCUAAUUAAUUCCUCUUCUGCUCUAUCUUUUUUCCUUCCAAUUCAUCUAAGAAACUUUAAAUCAUUCAACUAUCUAAUGCCUAACAUCCAUGGAAAGAAGUGGUGUUGAAGUGUGAAACUCAAGCCGGCAACUGGAUAUCAAUUUGCCUACUUAUUUAUACCUUCAAAUAUUAGUUAAAGACUAAUUAAGUCACUGUUUCUUUUUUUUCUAUUCCUUAUUUAUACCUCCAAACAGUACACAAUGUCAGGAGUUGAACUAUAAAUGCAUGCUUAUGAUUAAUGGAUCACCCAAAAAAAUGGAGAAUUUAUUCAUUUGCAUUUUCAUGUUCUAUCUCAGAUGUAGCACAUUGUGUGUAUGAAUCAUGGUGAAUGUCAAGCCUACUUAGGUCAUACCCAAGUAAGGUCAGUAUAGAUGUAUAGUGCUUAUAAAAUGUGGUGCUCCAAUAUAACUUUGUUACUCAAUUGGGAAUUAUGUUUUUCUAUAGUUAAAGUGCAUGUGUGUUGCUGUGAUGUAUACAAGUGAAGGGGACCUUCUUGCUUUUCUUUUUCCCUUUUGUUUCUGUUUGAUGAUUACCCAUCCAUCCUGAUGCUUGAGUAUUUUCUAACCUCCCCUGUUUUAUUCUUUUGGUGCUACUUGGACGUUCCUAAUGUCAGUUUUUUUUUGUUUUCUUUCAGAAUACAGAAAGAAUAAGCUACUAGCAUUCCUAAUGUGCAAGUAAACCUACUGGGAUUACGACUGCAAAAACAAAUCAUGACAUGUGAGCAAUUCUCAAUUUAGAUACUGUGAGCUUAAACAACAAGAGCUAAACUGUUGUGCCAUGUUCAGAAUUGGUAAUAGAAAAGAUAAUCUCAACACACAUUCUGAAAUUAUCGAGGCUCCUGCCUUUGGGGAAUUAGGUUGCUAAGCAUUACUUUGUAAAUAAAUGACAUGCUAACUUCCUGGUUCAGUUUAAAGCUAUAGGCAGGGGCUUGCGGUAGGGGGGAUAUCAUUGUGGCAGUUGAAAACCAAAACCUUUAUUCAUGAGUGUAUGAUCUGGACUGCGCUUUUUCUGAAAGUAUGUUACGAUCCUCCUCUUGGGAGAUUAAGCUAUUGUGGUUUUGCUUGGUAAAUAAUUGGCAUGCUAAAACGUUGGUUGUUGUUUCAGUGGUGGGGACCAAUAAUAGAAAGAAGUUGCUUCCUUAGAUGGUUGGUUAGGUCGUGGGUGCAGCAAGGAAAGGGCCACCUGAUGACGGUUCUGGACUUGAGGUCUAAGAAAAAGUAUUGUUCAGUGUAGUGUUUUUCUGGUUUCUUGAUCAGUGUGUCAGAGGCCAUGAAUUCUUUUCAUGCUUGCAAAGUUUUUUUUGGAUUUUAUUUGAAAAGUAUACCCCGGUUGAGAGGCUAGGAGGGAUCUUGCUGAACAAAUAUACCUGACUUCAUGAAUGUCUGUACAGUUAGUCAGAGAUGAAAUGACAAGCAGCUCUCCUGCGUCGUUCGAGAAGAAAAGAAAACAAAAGAUGAGGAUUAUAUAAUCCCACUUUAUGCUUACAGUUAGUCCGAGAUUAAGUGAUUAUUUGUGCCGCGGUCGCUACAUCAAAUCAUCUAAAAUAAGCUACUAGCGUUUUUUCGAUCCAAGCUUUCUUGCUUAGAAUUAGAUAAUAUACACCUGCUUCAUAAAUAUUAUUGUUUCUGAGAGUGGCAUGAUCAUCAUGAAAUCAAUAAAUUAUAUACGCAUAUGUGCUUUACUAAAUAUUAUUCUCUCUGUAUACCUUCUUUAUUUUUAUUAGAGAAACAGUUGAGGUAGUAUACUCAGACUAAUGCAUUGCAGCUCUAAAUCUACCAUACAUGUGAAUAAGUUUGUUUAAAUCAUUUGCAUACUUAUCUUGUUUUUUAUUUCACGUAGAUGUUGAAGUAUGGCCUUGAAAGGUAAGUUGGAUGGCUGGAGAUGCUCAAAAGAUGUAACAAAGAGAGAAGAUAAGAGGGAGAGAGAGAAGGAGAAGAGGGAGUGCUCGAUUCGAUCUGCAAGAGAGAGAGAAG
This 2083-nucleotide long non-coding RNA is filed under the name Triticum aestivum (bread wheat). RNAcentral describes it as "long non-coding RNA (TAES_LNC009465)". The record is from RNAcentral. Lineage: Eukaryota; Viridiplantae; Streptophyta; Magnoliopsida; Poales; Poaceae.